GCGUUGUCCGGAAUCAUUGGGCGUAAAGGGCGCGUAGGUGGCACGGUAAGCGUGCGGUGAAAGUUCAGGGCUCAACCCUGAGUCUGCCGUGCGAACUGCUGGGCUAGAGCACUGUAGAGGCAGGCGGAAUUCCGGGUGUAGCGGUGGAAUGCGUAGAGAUCCGGAAGAACACCGGUGGCGAAGGCGGCCUGCUGGGCAGUGGCUGACACUGAGGCGCGACAGCGUG
RNAcentral lists this ribosomal RNA (226 nucleotides) under uncultured bacterium. RNAcentral describes it as "partial 16S ribosomal RNA". It matches the Rfam family "Bacterial small subunit ribosomal RNA", at positions 538 to 763 of the family's 1533-position model. The record is from RNAcentral.